RNAcentral lists this ribosomal RNA (253 nucleotides) under uncultured bacterium. RNAcentral's name for it is "partial 16S ribosomal RNA". It matches the Rfam family "Bacterial small subunit ribosomal RNA", at positions 524 to 776 of the family's 1533-position model. The record is from RNAcentral.
UACGGAGGGUGCAAGCGUUAUCCGGAUUCACUGGGUUUAAAGGGUGCGUAGGUGGGCAAGUAAGUCCGUGGUGAAAUCUCCGGGCUUAACCCGGAAACUGCCAUUGAUACUAUUUGUCUUGAAUACUGUGGAGGUCAGCGGAAUAUGUCAUGUAGCGGUGAAAUGCUUAGAUAUGACAUAGAACACCAAUUGCGAAGGCAGCUGGCUACACAAAUAUUGACACUGAGGCACGAAAGCGUGGGGAUCAAACAGG